GGAACCCCCAGCUGACCUACCUAUUGAAGUUUAUGAGGAUCUCAUGGAUCCACAAAACUUCAGUGUAUGAUCAUUCUCGCACUCUGAUGAGUCAAGUAGUAUAGUAAAAGAAGUGAUCAUCUUUUGUAUUUUACAGUCACUUCUGACCUCAGUUAUAUAUGUAAUUGGAACUCAUAUUGUAAUACCUCGCCCAUCACUGUGCUAAAAUGAUUUCGAAACUUUAUUUAUUC
This 230-nucleotide long non-coding RNA is filed under the name Carica papaya (papaya). Its description in RNAcentral is "long non-coding RNA (CPAP_LNC010906)". Lineage: Eukaryota; Viridiplantae; Streptophyta; Magnoliopsida; Brassicales; Caricaceae. The record is from RNAcentral.